AAAACCCUUCCGGGCCCGCUCUUGCAGCGCGGCCGCGGGACCCUGGCGUGGGGAUGUCGACCGCCGCGCCUCCUCCGGGGGGUGCGGGCCAGGUUUCCCCCGCUUAAACGCGGAGAAAGCUAGCGGGCUGAUGGUCACGACCGCGAAGACUAGUAAGCAUCACGCACCUGUCAUCGACGGUCCGGCCGACGCCCCGCCUCCCAAACCACCAUGGGGGACACCUUCACCGGUGCCUUCCCACCUGAC
Molecule: unclassified non-coding RNA, 246 nt
Filed under: uncultured Orbiliales
Lineage: Eukaryota; Fungi; Ascomycota; Orbiliomycetes; Orbiliales
Description: sequence contains ITS2
Source: RNAcentral